UGGGAGUUUGAGACCAGCCUGGCCAACAUGGAGAAACCCCGUCUGUACUAAAAAUACAAAAAACAAACAAACAAACAAAAAAAUUUAGCCGGGCAUGGUGGUGCGUGCCUGUAAUUCCAGUUACUCAGGAGGCUGAAGCAGGAGAAUUGCUUGAACCCGGGAGGCGGAAGUUGCAGUGAGCUGAGAUUGCACCAUUGCACUCCAGCCUUGGCGGCAAGAGCAAAACUCCAUCUCAAAAAAAAAAGAAAAAGAGAAAAAAGAUAUAGAAGGAACAAAUGACUACUUGGUUACCAACUAUUUUAGUUGUAUUUUGUAUAGUACUAUAUUAUAAAUCUAUGUUCACAUCUAACACAGGCAUGAGUGGAAGGCAGGCAUACAACAUCCUCUUAAACACUUCUAUUAAUGGAGUAUUCAGCACAUCACAAAGUAGCUUUAUGGAUAGCUUGGCUUCUGAAUUUUUUUAAACUAUUAAGUAACAUUAAUAAUUUCCUUUAUUCUAUGUGCACAGAACACCGGCAAUAAAGAUUUCAUUCAUUUACUCAAAAAUAUUUACUGGUUGCCUUUUUGGGGACAGGUACUUUAUGACUUUAUGACAUAGUUACAAUGGUAAAGUAACAAAAUUUCAUUUCAUACCAUCAAGUGUUUAAAAUUAAAAUAAGUAUUUUAGAUGUAGAUAAAUAUGUUUUUCUAAAAAUCACCAAACAGGAUAUAAGUAAUUUAUUUGAUCAUGGCAUUUUAUCACAUACUAUAACAAGAUCUAUUUAUCACAUACUAUAACAAGAUCUAUUCCCAGUAUCUAGAAAGCAAGCCAACGGGCCGGGCGCAGUGGCUCACGUCUGUAAUCCGAGCACUUUGGGAGGCCGAGGUAGGUAGAUUAUGAGCACAAGAGAUCGAGACCAUCCUGGCAAACAUGGUGAAAUCCUGUCUCUACUAAAAAUAAAAAAAUUAGCUGGGGGUGGUUGGCGUGCGACUGUAGUCCCAGCUACUCGGCAGGCUGAGGCAGGAGAAUUACUUGAACCUGAGAGGGGGAGGUUGCAGUGAGCUGAGAUUGCACCACUGCACUCCAGCCUGGUGACAGAGGGAGACUCGGUCUCAAAAAAAAAAAAAAAAAAAAAAAAAGACAGCCACCGAACUGUAAACCAAUUAAAUUGGGAGUAGAACUGGAAGAGUGUGAUUUAUUACCUUGUUUAUAGCCUGAAUGUCUUAAAAAAUGGGUCCCAACUCAAACUUUACAAUUAUCCAUUUAGUGUCAUAAAAUUCUAUAAGUCAAAUAUUAAAAUUGAUCUAUAAGUCUAUUCCCUUUAAAAAAGCCUAUUCCCUGAAGCUCUUACAAAAAUGAAGUAAUAAAGGUAUAUGUUUAACAUGUAUUUAUUUAUUUAUUUGAGGGUUGUGCUUUGUCACCUAGGCUGGAGUGCAGUGGCAUGAUCAUGGCUCACUGCAACCUCUACCUCCUGGGCUCAAGCAAUCCUCCCACCUCAGCCUCCUGAGUAGUUGGGACUACAGGUGUGCGCCAGCACACCUGGCUAAUUUUUGUAUUUUUUGUAGAGAUGCAGUUUCGCCAUGUUGCCUAGGCUAGUCUCAAACACCUGGACUCACCCAAUAAGCCUGACUUGGCCUCUCCAAGUGUUGGGAUUACAGGCAUGAGCCACCACACCCAGCUGGAAAAUGUUUAAAAUUUAUUAAGUGAAAAGUAACUCAUGCUGCAAUGAACGUACUAUGUAAAAAUGUAUGUAUGUGGAACAGGGAAAAAUAUAAACAGUCACAGAAAUGUGUUUAGGUUGGUAGCAUUCUUUUUCCUCUUAAAAAUUCCUUUUUUUGGCCGGGCGCUGUGGCUCACACCUGUAAUCCCAGCACUUUGGGAAGCCGCGGUGGACAGAUCACAAGGCCAGUUAAGUUUUCUUUUUCUUUUUUUCUUUUUUCUUGGUUGAGACGGAUUUUCGCUCGUCACCCACACUGGAGUGCAAUGGCGCGAUCUCGGCUCACUGCAACCUCCGACUCUUGGGUUCAAGCGAUUCUCCUGCCUCAGCCUCCCGAGUAGCUGGGAUUAGAGGCACCUGUCACCACGCCCGCUACUUUUGGUAUUUUUAGUAGAGAUGGAGUUUCACCACGUUGGCCAGGCUGAUCUCAAACUCCUGGCCUCAAGUGAUUCACCUGCCUUGGCCUCCCAAAGUGCUGGAAUUACAGGCCCGGCCUAUUUUUGCAAUAAUUAUGAAUAGCACACCAUUUAAACCUGUUGAUUGAGCCCUCCUUAAAUAACUAAAUACACUACUGGCCAACAUGGUGAAAACCUGUCUCCACUAAAAACACAAAAAAAUGGCCGGGCACAGUGGCUCAUGCCUGUAAUCCCAGCACUUCAGGAGGCCAAGGGGUGUGAAUCACCUGAGGUUAGGAGUUCAAGACCAGCCUGGCCAACAUGGUGAAACCCUGUCUCUACUAAAAAAAAAUACAAAAAUUAGCUGAGUGUAGUGGCACAUACCCGUAGUCUCAGCUACUCAGGAGGCUGAGGCAGGAGAAUUGCUUGAACCUGGGAGGCAGGGGUUGCAGUGAGCCAAGAUCGUGCCACCACACUCCAGCCUGGGUGACACAGCGAGACUCCAUCUCAAAAUAAAUAAAUAAAUAAAAAGAAAGGGACCGAGCGCGGUGGCUCAUGCUUGUAAUCCCAGCACUCUGGGAGGCUGAGUUGGGCAGAUCACAAGGUCAAGAGUUCAGGACCAGCCUGACCAACACGGUAAAACCCCAUCUCUACUAAAAAUACAAAAAUGAGCUGGGUGUGAUGGCACGCGCCUGUAACCCCAGUUACUCAAAAGGCUGAGGCAAGAGAAUCGCUUGAACCUGGGAGGCAGAGGUUGCAGUGAGCCGAGAUCACGCCACUGCAUUCCAGCCUGGUGACAGUGAGACUCUGUCACACACACACAAAAAAGAUAAAGAAUGACAAAAAUCUGUGCCUACAUUCAGAGUGACAAGAAUACUAAUGUUCUGCUUGUAGAAAAGACUAUUGGUUCAGAAUAUGUUAAAUGCAAAUAAUAUUUUGUAUAAUAUAUAUAAAUUACAUAUGCAUAAAAAGAGUAUCUAUAUUAGAAUCUUUUGAGACAGGGUCUUGCUCUGUCAACCAUGAGGGAGUGCAGUGGCACUACCACAGCUCACUGUAGCCUUGACUUCCUGAGCUCAAGCCAUCCUCUCGCCUCAGCCUCCUGAAUAGUUGGGACUGCAGGUGGUGCCACCAAGGCUGGCUAAGUUUUUAUAUUUUUUUAUAGAAACAAGCUUUUGCCACGUUGCCCAGGCUGGUCUCAAACUUCUAAAAGCUCAAGCAAUCUGGCCGCCUUGAACUCCCAAAGUGCUUGAGUUAUAGGCAUGAGUCACUGUGCCCGGCCUACAUUAGAAUCUUAACAGUGGGGCUGGGCAUGGUGCCCCAUGCCUGUAAUCCCAGCACUUUGGGAGGUCAAGGUGGGCAGACUACUUGAGGUUGAGGAGUUCGAGGCCAGCCUGGCCAACAUGGUGAAACCCCAUCUGUACUAAAAACACAAAAAUUAGCCAGGUGUGGUGGCACAUGUUUGCAAUCCCAGCUACUUGGGAGGCUGAGGCGGGAGGAUCACUUGAACCUGGGAAGCAGAGGUUGCAGUGAGCCGAGAUGGUGCCAUGGCACUCCAGCCUGGGCAAUAGACAGCGGGACUCAGUCUCAAAACAAAAAAAAAAAAAAAAAAAAAAGAAUCUUAACAGUGGUUAACUUCAAAUAGUGAAACUAUGACUGUUAACUGAGUUUGACAUUUUUGUGUUUUCCUAGAUUUUUCUACAAUAAACAUUAUUAUUUCAUAAUAAAGCAGUAAAGACUUUUUAUACAAACUAUUUUAAGAUAAACAAAUUUUGACAUAGGGGUUAUAAGUUAGGUAGAAUCUAUUUAUAUAAAAAAUGGAACUGUACUUUUGUGGGCCAAAUAAGCACUAUGUAAGUUUUUUUAAUUUUCCCAAACACAUGCACAGAAUUAAUAUUGCCUUAAAUUUUGUUAGCACAAGUUUGAGAGAGCUCUUUAGUUCAUAAAAAAAUGUUUUAUGGACCAGGUGCCGUGGCUCACACCUGCAAUCUCAACACUUUGGGAGGCCCAGGUGGGAGGAUCGCUUGAGCCUAGGAGUUUGAGACAAGACUGGGCGACGCAGGGAGACCCUGUCUCAAAAAAACAAAACCAAAAACAAGCAAACAAAAAAACAGCUGGGCAUGGUGGCAUGCAUAUGUAGUCCCAGCUAUUCUAGAGGCUGAGGUGAGAUCGCUGGAGCCCAGGAGGUGGAGGCUACAGUAAGCUGUGAUCAUGCCAAUGCACUCCAGCUUGGUCAACAAAGCAAGACUGUGCCUCAAAAAAAAAAAAGAAAAGAAAAGAAAGAAAGAAAAGAAAAAGAAAAAAAGUUAUGUACGUAUGGUUUUUUUUUUUUUUUGGAUAGAGUUUCACUCUUCUUGCCCAGGCUGGAGUGCAAUGGUGCAAUCUUGGCUCACCACAACCUUCCCCUACUGGGUUCAAGCGAUUCUCCUGUUUCAGCCUCCCCAGUAGCUGGGAUUAAAGGCAUGUGCCACCACGCCCGGCUAAUUUUGUAUUUUUAGUAGAGAUGAAGUUUCUCCAUGUUGGUCAGGCUGGUCUUGAACUCCUGACUUCAGGUGAUCUGCCCGCCUCAGCCUCCCAAAGUGCUGGGAUUACAGGUGUGAGCCACCUCGCCUGGCCGUUUUUUUUUUUUUUUUUUUUUUCUGAGACGGAGUUUUGCUCUUAUUGCCCAGGCUGGAGUGCAAUGGCACGAUCUCGGCUCAUCGCAACCUCUGCCUCACGGGUUCAAGCAAUUUUCCUGCCUCAGCGUCUCAAGUAGCUAGGAUUACAGGGAUGCUCCAUCAUGCCCGGCUAAUUUUGUAUUUUUGGUAGAGACAGGGUUUCUCCAUGUUGGUCAGGCUGGUCUCAAACUCCCAACCUCAGGUGAUUUACCCGCCUUGGCCUCCCAAAGAGCUGGGAUUACAGGUGUGAGCCACUGUGCCCGGCCAUGCUUAUGUUUUUUAACAAUACACUUCUGAACUAUCAAAAAGAAUAUAAAUCAAAAUCACUGAAGUAGUUUUUAAAAACUCCAAAAGCUACAAAACUUACUUACUUCAAUAUCAAUUAAAAACCCAUUUGAUAGUUCAAUAACUUGAGUCCUGCUAGAAUCAUUCUAUAAGCCAUCAGUGACAGUGAAGUGGCCAAAAUUUGAGUCACUUGAUAAGUACAAAGAACACAGAUUUUU
This 5249-nucleotide long non-coding RNA is filed under the name Homo sapiens (human). RNAcentral describes it as "HSALNT0046039". The record is from RNAcentral. Lineage: Eukaryota; Metazoa; Chordata; Mammalia; Primates; Hominidae.